UUAUCUAAAUGUUAGUCAGUGUUAGAAGCACAUUGCAUCUCUGACUUGGUCCAUUUAACUAAAGCUUCUGCAACCUUUAACCCUCUAUUAUCAGCUCUGACUGUUAUUGACAGGCUAAUUCCCCUGCUGCCGCAGUGCAGGAGAUAGACAGAGAGCAUUAGCCUUGAGAAAUCUGUGACCUUUAGCUGCCAGAUUAUAGAAGCGUAAGACUCGGAGUUAGAAAAGACCUAUUAUGUCAUUUUGCCUAUCUCCCUGUGCAUACAGGGCUGUCCCUUUCUGUAGAGAUGAUCAAAGCUUGGUUCAACCUCACUUUGGGUAUCCAUGGUGAAACGGCUCCCUGCACAGCGUUUGCAAGCUGUUUCCCCUGUGGAUUGCAGCCCAUCAUAUAGCUUCUAUUUAUUCUCAGCCUUUUAUUUUCCCCUUGUUAUCUCAAAUGUUAUCCUGGAAACUCUAGUGCCAGGUCUAGCCCUCCAGGGCACAAACAACCCAUGGUGUUUGUGCUCUGGGGAAUAUUCACUCUGGUUCUGAGAAUUUCCAAUCUGCUUGGAUCCCUUGAUGUGAAGGGAUAGGGAUUGGGAAUGUGCCCAGAGAGCCCUGGGAGGAUGAUGAUGGGUAUUUGGGGAUAUGGUUGGUCUGCUCCAGCAGCUGCAGACCUAGCUCACCCACUUUUCUCCCUGCGUGGUUUUUCCCUAACAUCCCUCUAUCAGCAACUUAAUCCUGGUACAAGUUCCCUGUUCCCCAUUCCUGCAUGCAUCGUUCCUCCUUUCCUUCAGCAAGAGGUCAGGGAGGCCAAACCAGACAGAUGAGAGAAGUCUCUGGUGUCUGAGUUGCCCUUGCUCUUUUACCCAGGGAGAGUGGGGCUGCUAUAUCAUAUGCCAUGCACAAACUUGCCUUAGCUUCAUUUCUGCUCAGAUAAAACUUGCUGGUGCUUUUCAGGAAGGAGUGGUCAUGGACAUUAUGCAUAUAGGGGCAAAACUUUUUCUAGAAGAGAGUUCCCUUUUUCCCCUCAGUAGCUGCCUCUUUUCCACAGUCAAGUGCUGAGUACAUCAGUAAAGAUCUGAUUUAUAUGCAUGUCAUCUUAUUUUUGUAUUCCAUUCUGGGCUCUGAAGGUCAAGCCGUGCUGAUGUGGGUUCUGGCAUACCAAAAGAGUGAGCAAUUCUUUCAUUAAGAUUUGUUAAUAAUUCAGCUGAUAUCUGAGUCAGGAAAGAAGCCUGUUCCCUCUUCUGUAGGUGCUACAAAACCUACAGAAGUGGAACACAUUAUUACCAAUAAAGAAUGCAGAUGAGGGGCUUUUUAGAGGAAAUAAUGUCAUCUUCACAUAGGCAACCAUCCCCUGGUAUGAAAACCAUUGCAAAGAUGCUUCAGGUGGACUGCUUUUAUAGUCAAAGCGUGGGGUGAAGACUUAAGAGAGGAAAAUGUUGUAGCUUUGUCAUGAUCUUUGGGCAUGUUGCUUAGACUAGCACAAGCGCUAGCUGAAGUCAGGUGGGAUUUAGGCAUGUAAAUAACUUUGAAACUUUUGAAAAAUGUCUUUUUGUUGCUCUGAGCAUGUUUGCCCCACAUGGUGCAGACUGACUGGAGAUAUCUGAAUGGGAUCUGAGACAGCCUGUCCUGCAAAAGCCAUAUCUGGGGUUAAUGGAUCCAGCCUCAAGAAGGCUCAUUAGCUCAGGAUGAACUGAUACAUGGCCAUACCCAUACUCCUCCUUGUUCCAAACACAGAUCAUCUGGACAAAUUUUUAGGAGCUACCUGGAUCUGUAUUGCAUCAUACACAAAAAGCCCCUGGUCUCUGUGGAUCUGGACGAGUGACAUUAAGAAUGCAGGGACGGAUGCCACCAUCUUCUUUCAGAUUUAUGGAGACAAGGGGAAGUCAGAUGAGAUGAAGCUGGACAACAAUUCAGACAACUUUGAAACUGGACAGACUGACAAAUUCAUGAUUGAGCUCCCUGAUCUGGGCACGUUUUAUAAGCUUCGCAUAUGGCAUGAGAAAAGAAAUCCCUUUGCUGGCUGGCAUCUGAACAAGAGUACGGAUCUGACAAGCACAGUUGGCUAUGACAGCAUCAUUCAACAUCUGAAUGAUGGCAGGAAGAACUGCAAAGAGUUUGAAGACUUUCUGAAGGAAAGGGCAAUAAUAGAAGAAAAAUAUGGCAAAGAGCUCAUUAAUUUGUCAAAGAAGAAGCCCUGCGGGCAAACGGAGCUGAACACGCUGAAGAGAUCCCUGGAUGUCUUUAAGCAACAGAUAGACAAUGUGGGACAAGGUCACAUCCAGCUGGCGCAAACCCUUCGGGAGGAAGCAAAGAAAAUGGAGGAAUUCAGGGAAAAGCAAAAACUGCAUCGGAAAAAGAUAGAGCUGAUAAUGGAGGCGAUUCACAAAAACAGGAAUCUGCAGUACAAGAAGACCAUGGAGGCCAAGCGGCUCUAUGAGCAGCGCUGCAGGGAUAAGGAUGAGGCGGAACAAGCUGUGCACCGCAACGCAAAUGUGGUUACACAGAAGCAGCAGGAGAAGCUGUUCCUCAAGCUGGCUCAGGCAAAAUCAUCUCUGGAGGACUCUGACAGGAGUUACCAGCAGAGUGUUACCACACUGGAGAAGAUCCGGGAAGAAUGGCAAAAAGAGCACGUCAAAGCUUGUGAGUUCUUUGAGACUCAGGAGUGUGAGCGGAUCAACUAUUUCCGCAAUGCCCUCUGGCUUCAUGUCAACCAGCUGUCCCAGGACUGCGUCCAGAAUGAUGAAAAAUAUGAGGAAAUCCGCCAGAGUUUAGAGCUGUGCAGCAUUGAGAAGGACAUUGAUUUUUUCGUAAAUUUACGCAAAACUGGAAGUUUGGCACCAGCUCCUGUUGUUUAUGAAAACUACUACAAUACACAGAGAAAUCCAACCCCUGUAAGAAGUCCGGUUCCUGUGCCUGUAUCAAGGAGGGCACCUCUACCCACCCCGACCAGCGCGCCAGGUGAGUUCCUGGCUUUAUGGGGUUUCUGGCUCCACAGAAGAACUCUGCUUUUGCUCCUCCCCAUCACAUCAUGAGCUUGAGCUCUCUCAAGGGAAUGGUUUAGGUGAAGCUCCUGCUCCAAGUGCAGUCCCCACUGAAAGAUGCUGGAAAGUGACACUCUGACUUUGGAGGCAAGGUUUCACUCAGGAGGAGUUCUCAUCAAAGCCCUGCAUGUGAGCCUGAUUAUGCCACAGUUGACGGCUACAGCUUGAUACAUCACUAAUAGCCACAGUUCUCCAGGCAGAAGACACUGUUGGUUUGGCCAGCAUGGUGGUGUUUCCACAUACUCCCAGCCACACAGAGCUGAAGUGCUUCUCUGUUUCAGCAAAGUAUUUGAGGACUCAGAUAAUUAUUUGUACAUUCAGAAAGUGCCUAUUAAAAAUCCGUGCCUUUGAUCAGCAAACUCCUUGGACAGAUAGCCCAUCUUCACGCUCGGGGGAAGAAAAGGAAUAUAAGCGAUGGACCCAGACACAGGGGCGAUCUGUGUCAGAAGAAGUUUUGGUUUGAAGUUCUUCUAAAGUGCAGCCAUCUGGAAGAGGCUGGAGAUAACCAAGAAGUCAUACGUGCUGAGGGGAGUGCUGCACGAUGCUUUGGGAAUGCUGGCUUAUGUUUAGGGCAUAUGUGUCCCGCUCAAAUCUCAGGUUAAGCUUUUCCCUGUUUCUAAAGUCCUUCAUUAAUCGUGAUUAAGCUUGUAAUUUAGGUUUCAUUCUGGCCAUGUCUCUCAGGGAGCUCACUUUGAGGAGCACCGACAAUACACUGUGUGUCCGGCUUAGCUGUAGAUGUGCUCCAGGCUUAAGUGCUGAUACUGGAAGCUGAUUUGCAUGUUGCCUGGUGCAGCAGUCCACAGCGCAGCUACCCAGUGAGAGGCUGUGCUGUGACAAAGCUGCACCCUGCAGUGUUGCUGAGGAUCUGGAGAAGUUGGUCAGCUCUUCCACCACCUCUCCAAUGAGAGCCUUGCAGAUUUUUAGGUUCAUGGUAUAGCUUGUGCCUGGUAGGCUCUGCAGACCCUAGUUUGAUUGACUUUUGGUAAAGAAGUCCCUUGGAUUUGGUGUGACUACACACCACUGGAAAUGAACUUAUAUGGUCAUGUUGGGCUGGAGCCCUGAAACUCAUUUUCUGACCAUAUCUCCUCAAAGUUCAUGCUUUUUUUGUUACCAUAUACAUGAUCAUGGCUUUGAUUCAGAAGCUCAUGGGCCACAGGGCUGCUGGUCUCUCUGAUAUCCUCAUGUGCAGCACUGCUUAACAGCUCCUUAGUGCCUUAUCACACAGGGAUGCAGGAUAAGGGGAAGAGCACACAGUUCAGCUGCCUAAACCUGGUGCCAGGUGACUAACUUUGGAGCACAGGGAGUUGCUGCUUGUAUGAUGUUCUUCAAGUUGAAGCUGCAUGACUUCAGUGCAUGUCUGAGCCAAACAGUCCCUGGAGCUUUUACUGUAUUUCCUUCUGUAUAGAAGAUGACAGUGAGCUUAAGCAUCUGUCCUGCUUGCAUUACAAUGGACUGUGCAAAGUGCACAUGCCAAGGAAUCAGUUGUCCAUUUUCAUUUCUGAAAGACCAAGUGUACAAAUAUUCUUCUAAAGGACCCUGCUGUAGUCUUAGUUCUUUAAAUACAUAUUUUAAAAUUAAGUUUUGA
Molecule: RNA transcript, 4608 nt
Organism: Strigops habroptila (Kakapo)
Lineage: Eukaryota; Metazoa; Chordata; Aves; Psittaciformes; Psittacidae
Gene: PSTPIP2
Gene name: proline-serine-threonine phosphatase interacting protein 2
Exons: 17
Source: RefSeq, a predicted model, not a curated record